AGACGUAGGGGGCGAGCGUUGUCCGGAUUUACUGGGCGUAAAGCGCGUGCAGGCGGUCCGUUAAGUCUCGUGUGAAAUCCUCCGGCUCAACCGGAGAACGCCGCGGGAUACUGGCGGGCUUGAGGGCGGUAGAGGGUGAUGGAAUUCCCGGUGGAGCGGUGAAAUGCGUAGAUAUCGGGAGGAACGCCAGUGGCGAAGGCGGUCACCUGGGCCGUCCCUGACGCUGAGACGCGAAAGCUGGGGGAGCGAACGGGA
Molecule: ribosomal RNA, 255 nt
Filed under: uncultured prokaryote
Description: partial 16S ribosomal RNA
Rfam family: Bacterial small subunit ribosomal RNA
Source: RNAcentral